Molecule: RNA transcript, 3379 nt
Organism: Ziziphus jujuba (common jujube)
Lineage: Eukaryota; Viridiplantae; Streptophyta; Magnoliopsida; Rosales; Rhamnaceae
Gene name: protein FRIGIDA-ESSENTIAL 1
Exons: 8
Source: RefSeq, a predicted model, not a curated record
ACCUUUAGAAAGUUGAACUAGAAAUUGGGCGAAUCCAAUGUGAGCAACAUUUUGUAAAAAUGGGCUGAGGGGGUCAAUGAAUAAUGCGCAUGGACAUACGUGCCGCAUGUACUUCCCAUCUAGUGGCGAAUCGGUUCAGUGAUGUCCGGCUCUGCCUCCCCCUCAAAAUCACUCUAAACCCAAACCAGCAGCACUCGGACCCCAAUGCCUCUCGCGCCCUCUCAGCCUGCCGUCCAAUUGUUCGAUUCCGAUUCCGAUGUCGAUGACGACGAUCAAAUGGUUGAAGAAGAUGAGGAAGAAGAAGAAGUAGAAAAAGAUGUGGAAGAAGAAGAACCAGAAGAAGAAGAACAAGAGUCAGAAGAAGAAGAAGAAGUUGACGACGUUGAAGGAGAAGAAGUUGAUCGAGUUGAAGCUGAUGAUGAUCAUAAAGAUGUUAGACAAGAUGUGAAGUCUGUGGAACAUUAUGGGCGCUUGGAAUUGGGUUCAUCCACUCAAGGGAAAUUUAGAAACAUGCUACCCUCAAAUGCCUUUGGUGUGGACCAAAGUAGUUUUGGUUCCAAGAAGGAAACCUUGAAUAUACAGAGUGAGGGGCUACGUAUAAAACCUGGGAGAUAUUUGUCUUUAGGUGAAAAUAAGGGAAUUCUUCUAGAUAAUAUGAAAGAUGCUCAGACCCUUACAGAUAAGAAUUCCUCUAAAAGCUGCAUCGAACACCAUUCUAAUAGCAACUCUUAUUUGUGUAAAAGUGAGAUUAUGUCUGCUAAAACCACCAACUCAUGUCAUGUCACUGGGAAAGGUGCGGUUGUUGCCAUACAGAUGCGUGAUUGCUUUGGUAAGGAGGCCAAUGAUGUUUGGGAUCCAGAAGAUGAAAUUAAGCAAACGGACAAGCAGUCAGGAGAUGAUGAAAAGCAAGCAGCAUCAAGGAUUUUCAGAUUGGCUUCUGAGAUUGGUACUCAAAGUCUGUCCUCUGGUGCUGGGAUUGAUAAUGGAGAUAAACGACCAGCAAUUGUCUGUGACUUUUUUGCUAAGGGUUGGUGCAUAAAAGGUAGUAUGUGUAGGUUUCUUCAUAGAAAAGAUAAUCUGAAUAAUACACAUGCGCAGGAUGAGGGAGUGGCUUUUGCUGCAAAUAGGAAAGAUGUCCAGCUUGAUGAAGGUGUUAGAGGCAGUACAGAUUUUCAUGAUCCAAUAGCUCCUUUAGUUGGAAUUAACUCUGCAUUUCCUUUGCAUCUCACUUCAGAAGGUAUUCAGAAAUUAGAACGGAUAGUAAGUGAAAGAAGCAUUCAAUUUCCUGAAGAACGUGAUUGUUUUGCUCUUCACAAAGAGAUAUUAUCUGUUGGUACUUGUCCUGAUGCCAAGCAAAUGGCUUCCGCUAGCGGUUAUCCAGUCCUUUCCCCCUUAUUUGAGGAUGUAGAAAGACAGAGUAAGAGGCAACAUUGGCCUACUAAUGAUUGCGGCAGCCAUUUGUUGCUGGCUAAUAGAAGUGGUUCUGUAUUCAGGAACAGCUUGCAUCCUGAAUAUGGAUUUUCUUCAAGUGGGUAUACCAUAACUGCAGAUAAGUAUGGUAUUGGGAAGCUCUCUUCUCAUUCUACCAGCUUGGAGGAAUUGGCUAGCAGCCGCAGCUGUCGUCCAUCAUUGAGCCACUCUCCAAAUUCAAUCUCAAGUAAUCAUCUUUUAGGCACUGGCAUGCUUUCCUGUAACUCUAUUUCAUCCGGGAAUGGAUUGCCGCCAUUUAGUUAUUCCUCGUUGUAUGCAAGCUCUCUCAGAUCAUCUUCCUUUCUACGAAGUUCUCCCAUCUCCUGUUCUGAGCUAGAUAAUUUACCUUCAACCAGCAUAUCAUUGCCUUCUGCUGAACUUAAAUCAAAAAUUUCUUCAGAUGAUUGGGAGCCUUCUGUACCCUUCAGACCAUCUUUCUUCAUUCCUCCGGCAAUCUCAUCUCCAAGAAGCCAAUAUGACCCACUUCGUGAUAGUUUUGAGUUACCCAAGUUGGGAGAUGUAUCUUUGAAAGCAUUUUAUUGCCAAGGAUCAUCCAAGAUGAAUGCAUCCAAUCAGCAAACAUUUGGUGAUUCUGUUACAGGGACCGUGGGCUUGUCAUCAAAUGAAGAUAUAAAUUCUGUUUCUUCUCAUAAUAUCCGUAGUGAGAAUGUGUUAAAUAAGAGUUGCCAUACACAUGAGAAAGAUAUGCCGGCAAAUGAAGCAAAGGCUUUGGGAAUGUCUGUUGGCUCACAAAACGAGGCAUUGUCGAAAGAAGAGAAUGCCCUGGACCUAUCUGAUGUUGAAGAUAAUAUCAAUAUGAACAAAAUCAGUGAGCAUUGUGAUAGUAGACAUCAAAGGGAUGGGUCAAGGCAAGUAAAGGAUUUAAAAGUAGAUAGGGUUGGACAAAACAAAGAAGAGGAGGUUGACUGUAUAAUGGGAGAAAAUAUGCAUAAAGAAUUAAAACCUAUGAGGCAUUUCCGUGCUGCUCUUGUAGAUUUGGUGAAAGAGUUGUUAAAACCAAAAUGGCGUGAGGGUAAUUUACGUAAGGAUGCUCAUAACAAGAUAGUUAGAAAAGCAGUUGAGAAGGUUCUUAGCUCCCUGCAGCACCAACAGAUACCAUCUACCACAGAAUCAGUCAAGCAAUAUCUUUCUUCAUCUCGUCUAAAAAUCAAUAAGCUUGUUGAGGGAUAUGCUGAUAAAUAUGGCAAAACUUGAGAUGCUAGAAAAUACCCAUAAUGAACUGCCCUUGAUACCUUUGCUGUUCCAAUCGACGCCUACCUAGUUUCUUUGAAACAAGAAGGAGAACAUUUACCUUACCUUGGGAUUUAUAGUUGUGGUUUCCAGAUCCUGUGUCUAUGAAUGGUUUAUACGUAGGUGGAGAUAUUUGUUAAUUAAGUGCUGUUGAUUGCUUACAUGAUGCUGCUUCGAUUGAGAAAGGAAUGUUUGUGGUAGGAGCUGGCCAUUUGAAAUGAAAAGGUUGGAUGGGGGAUUCUUUGUUGAAGCAGUAGGAGUGUUCGAUGUUGGUCUUGACUGACUGAAUUCAAAUUCUGGGUCUUCGUUGUGAAUUUGAUUGGCAGUGUUGGUAGAAGCGGACUUCCAUUGCUGAUCUUGAAUACAUACUAGCCCAGCAAAGGAGAGUGAGUCAAGAGAGCUGGCAUCCGCAGCAACAUCUACAGAAAUCUUGUUUUGUGGGCGGUUUUCCAUUGAAUAUGUGAUGCACGUUGGAUGCAAGAGCUCACAGCUCAUAUAUGCAGCUCUACAUUGAAUGCAUAUGGAUGUAUCUAUUUGUUCUGUUUUGUUUGUUGGUUCUUCUUGUUAAUUCUUUCCGCUUUUAUCCUUUUGCCGCGUGUCAUGGAAUUUUUAUUUAAAAUAUUACUACAGUACUGGUAUCACCAAAUUUUAUUUACUA